UGGGGAAUCUUCCGCAAUGGACGAAAGUCUGACGGAGCAACGCCGCGUGAGUGAAGAAGGUUUUCGGAUCGUAAAACUCUGUCUUUUGGGGCGAACGUGAGUAUGGUGAACAAUCAUAGUCAGUGACGGUACCAAAGGAGGAAGCCACGGCUAACUACGUGCCAGCAGCCGCGGUAAUACGUAGGUGGCAAGCGUUGUCCGGAAUUAUUGGGCGUAAAGAGCGCGUAGGCGGGAUAGUCAGUCUGUUGUAAAAGUGCGGGGCUCAACCCCGUGAUGGCAAUGGAAACAGCUAUUCUUGAGUGCAGGAGAGGAAAGUGGAAUUCCCAGUGUAGCGGUGAAAUGCGUAGAUAUUGGGAGGAACACCAGUGGCGAAGGCGACUUUCUGGACUGUGUCUGACGCUGAGGCGCGAAAGCCAGGGGAGCGAACGGGAUUAGAUACCCCGGUAGUCCUGGCCGUAAACGAUGGGUACUAGGUGUGGGAGGUAUCGACCCCUUCCGUGCCGGAGUUAACGCAAUAAGUACCCCGCCUGGGGAGUACGGUCGCAAGACUGAAACUUAAAUGAAUUGACGGGGUCAUAGCUGUUUCCUG
This 589-nucleotide ribosomal RNA is filed under the name uncultured bacterium. RNAcentral's name for it is "partial 16S ribosomal RNA". It matches the Rfam family "Bacterial small subunit ribosomal RNA", at positions 355 to 1376 of the family's 1533-position model. The record is from RNAcentral.